CACGUAGGUAACCUACCCUCAGGACUGAGAUAACCCCGGGAAACUGGGGCUAAUAUUAGAUAGAUAAAAGAUACUGGAAUGUUCUUUUAUCCAAAGCUUUUGCGCCUGAGGAUGGGCCUGCGUCCGAUUAGGUUGUUGGUGGGGUAAUGGCCCACCAAGCCUACGAUCGGUACGGGCAGUGAGAGCUGAAGCCCGGAGUUGGGGACUGAGACAAGGCCCCAGGCCCUACGGGGCGCAGCAGGCGCGAAACCUCUGCAAUGCGGGAAACCGUGACAGGGGGAUCCCAAGUGCUCAUGCAUUGCAUGGGCUGUUCUUUGGUCUAAGUAACCAGAGGAGUAAGGGCUGGGCAAGACCGGUGCCAGCCGCCGCGGUAAUACCGGCAGCUCAAGUGGUAGCCGCGAUUAUCGGGCCUAAAGCGUUCGUAGCCGGAUAAGUAAGUCUUUGGUUAAAUCCUGCGACUUAACCGUGGGAAAUCUAGAGAUACUGCUUGUCUUGAGACCGGGAGAGGUUGGAGGUACUCCCAGGGUAGGGGUGAAAUCCUGUAAUCCUGGGGGGACCACCUGUGGCGAAGGCGUCCAACUGGAACGGG
This 589-nucleotide ribosomal RNA is filed under the name uncultured archaeon. Its description in RNAcentral is "bacterial SSU rRNA". It matches the Rfam family "Archaeal small subunit ribosomal RNA", at positions 97 to 689 of the family's 1478-position model. The record is from RNAcentral.